AGCCAAAUGGAUGUUUAACAGCUAAGCACUUGGGAUGGCCUUAAAAGCUCUCAAAGAUCUUGAUGAUGUUAUAGCCAGAGCUUAGUUGCGGCAAUUCCUGUAGCAACUUCAUAUUUUCAAUUCUCGAGUUAGCAGUUUUUUUACCCCUUUUUAUCAUCGGCUGGCCUGAUUUUCAUGUAGCCUUUUAGCCAUAGCAUAGAUUAACUUCUGCAGAAAUUCAAUGUUAAGUGUUAGCAUAAUGUAUCCCCC
RNAcentral lists this long non-coding RNA (249 nucleotides) under Gossypium barbadense (sea-island cotton). RNAcentral describes it as "long non-coding RNA (GBAR_LNC014719)". Lineage: Eukaryota; Viridiplantae; Streptophyta; Magnoliopsida; Malvales; Malvaceae. The record is from RNAcentral.